AUUGAACGCUGGCGGCAGGCCUAACACAUGCAAGUCGAACGAGUGGCGGACGGGUGAGUAAUGUCUGGGAAACUGCCCGAUGGAGGGGGAUAACUACUGGAAACGGUAGCUAAUACCGCAUACCAUCGGAUGUGCCCAGAUGGGAUUAGCUAGUAGGUGGGGUAAAGGCUCACCUAGGCGACGAUCCCUAGCUGGUCUGAGAGGAUGACCAGCCACACUGGAACUUAGACACGGGCCAGACUCCUACGGGAGGCAGCAGUGGGGAAUAUUGCACAAUGGGCGCAAGCCUGAUGCAGCCAUGCCGCGUGUAUGAAGAAGGCCUUCGGGUUGUAAAGUACUUUCAGCGGGGAGGCGUUACCCGCAGAAGAAGCACCGGCUAACUCCGUGCCAGCAGCCGCGGUAAUUC
Molecule: ribosomal RNA, 406 nt
Filed under: uncultured bacterium
Lineage: Bacteria
Description: partial 16S ribosomal RNA
Rfam family: Bacterial small subunit ribosomal RNA
Source: RNAcentral